CUGUCCACGGGGAAGUCCUGUCAUUUUAGAGAAGAACAAAGAUCUCCUCCAAGAAAACAAUAUAUCUCUUUUUCUGAUUUUAAGCAACAUGAUUAUGCUGUCCGUUGAACCACAAUUGCCUGUAUGCUGCUUCAGUCUGGCCCACAUUGACUCAGAUAAAAAACUUCACACCUUCCUCAUAAUCUACUAAAAUUUCAACCCUCAAUCCAUGGGUUACAUCACAAUCCCUGAAGAAGUAAUACAUUGGAGUGAGUGCUGGAUUUAAAGUAAAACAGUUGUGGAUUGGACCUCAGUUCAACUAUUGAUUAGCCAGGAGAUCUUAUAUAGUAUAUAGUUGCGGUAUAUUAAUUGCCUUAAUGACCUAAAUUGUUCACAUCUUUCUAGGUCCACCUAUUCUGAUUUUGCCUCUCAGCAUGUGACUUGAUUUGGUCACUGGGCAUUUUCAAAUAUAAUGCAAGCAGAGACCUGUAAAGCAUUUACAUAAUUAGAUUAGCCCUCUCUCUUCCAUCUGUACUGUUGUUCAUGAGAAUACGUCCACAUUAGCCAACUAGAGGAUGAAAUGCACAUUAAGCAGAACUGAGUUGUCCCAGUUGCCAAAUCCAAGGUCAUCAUAGGUGAGCCAGUGGUCAAUCAAUUCCCAACAAAUAAGUGAGCCUAGAAACAAUCAACGAGCCAACUUGUAGCUGAUUUGAGAUGCAAGGAUAAUCUAGUUGAGAUCACCUGGCUUCAGCCCAGAUACG
Molecule: long non-coding RNA, 740 nt
Filed under: Equus asinus (donkey)
Lineage: Eukaryota; Metazoa; Chordata; Mammalia; Perissodactyla; Equidae
Description: lncRNA (ENSEASG00005027120.1)
Source: RNAcentral